This 484-nucleotide ribosomal RNA is filed under the name uncultured bacterium. RNAcentral describes it as "partial 16S ribosomal RNA". It matches the Rfam family "Bacterial small subunit ribosomal RNA", at positions 28 to 523 of the family's 1533-position model. The record is from RNAcentral.
GACGAACGCUGGCGGCGUGCUUAACACAUGCAAGUCGAACGAUGAAGCUGGAGCUUGCUCUGGCGGAUUAGUGGCGAACGGGUGAGUAACACGUGAGAAAUCUGCCCUUGACUCUGGGAUAACUGCGGGAAACUGUAGCUAAUACCGGAUACUUUCCCUGGUGGGCAUCCACUGGGGAAGAAAGAAUUUCGGUCAAGGAUGAUCUCGCGGCCUAUCAGCUUGUUGGGGAGGUAAUGGCUCACCAAGGCGACGACGGGUAGCCGGCCUGAGAGGGUGACCGGCCACACUGGGACUGAGACACGGCCCGGACUCCUACGGGAGGCAGCAGUGGGGAAUAUUGCACAAUGGGCGCAAGCCUGAUGCAGCAACGCCGCGUGAGGGAUGAAGGCCUUCGGGUUGUAAACCUCUUUUAGCAGGGAAGAAGCGAAAGUGACGGUACCUGCAGAAAAAGCACCGGCUAACUACGUGCCAGCAGCCGCCGUAA